UACAGAGGUCUCAAGCGUUGUUCGGAUUCAUUGGGCGUAAAGGGUGCGUAGGUGGCGGGGCAAGUCAGGUGUGAAAUCUCGAGGCUCAACCUCGAAACUGCACUUGAUACUGCCUUGCUAGAGUACUGGAGAGGAGAUUGGAAUUUACGGUGUAGCAGUGAAAUGCGUAGAUAUCGUAAGGAAGACCAGUGGCGAAGGCGAAUCUCUGGACAGUUACUGACACUGAGGCACGAAGGCCAGGGGAGCAAACGGG
This 253-nucleotide ribosomal RNA is filed under the name uncultured bacterium. RNAcentral describes it as "partial 16S ribosomal RNA". It matches the Rfam family "Bacterial small subunit ribosomal RNA", at positions 524 to 776 of the family's 1533-position model. The record is from RNAcentral.